CCAUAGAGAGAGGUUCCACUUUGCAUUAGCAGCUCAUGCUUCAGCGCUCUGCGAGUGUUUAUAGCCCUGUGACUUUAACACUUCAUGACUGAGAGCUGCUGCUCAGCGACUUCACCCACAGCAACCAUGAGUUUGAUCAGCGUCUUCAUCUGCACACUGGCCCUCUGCGCUCGAGGAUCCAGAGGUCAGGUGACUGUGACUCAGAGUCCUGCAGUGAAAACAGUUUCUCCAGGAGAGACACUCUCCAUCAGCUGUAAAACCAGUACUAAUGUUAAUGCUUACUGUGGUGGGAGCAAUAACUGUUUAGCCUGGUAUCAGCAGAAACCUGGAGAAGCUCCUAAACUCCUGAUCUAUGAUGCUGACACUAGAGAAUCAGGUAUUCCAUCACGUUUCAGUGGCAGUGGAUCUGGAUCUGAUUUCACUCUGACCAUCAGUGGAGUCCAGACUGAAGAUGUUGGAGAUUAUUACUGUCAGAGUGUUCAUGAGAUCAGUAGUAGCUUGGUGUUCACACAGUGUUAGAGCGUCGUACAAAAACCUGUGUGAGUGUGACUGCUGCAGCUGGGACCUACUGCAGGUGCUGAGGGACACACACACACACACACACACACUACAGUAAGUAGACACAUUACAUAUAAACAUUUACACGUGUAUGAAUUUCAAUUUUUUCAAACAAAACAUUUCAGUUAUUAAAAUAUUCAGUUUUCAUCAACCUUCAGUUCGUCUACAUACAAAACAAUCAUCUAAAAUCAAACACAGAAAUCCCCUGAGGAGUUUCCACCUCAUAUUCACAGAAAAGCAUCAGGACACGACUCAUUUAAUAAACAUGUUACAGUUUUUCUCAAUUGCUAAAACACAAUUUCUGAAACCUUGCUCCAUUUUCUGAAACCAUUAAAUGCAAAACCUUAUCUUCAAGCAUUAUUUACCAAACCUCUGACUCCUCUUGCAAAAUGAAACUUUCGCCUAAAAACAGUUUUACCUGUGUUCAAAAUGAAACACUGCUCUCAAAUUAAAAACAAAGUGAUCAAAAUGAUAUACACUAUCAAGCAGUCAGUAAACAAUAAAACAAAAAACAGAAAACACAUUGUUCAAAACAUUUAGUUCUCAGGCAGAAGCAAAUUUUUAAUCUCAACGUUUUGGGCCAUACAAUUUGUUCAUUGUACAGUAAACAACAUACAAUGCACUGUACUACAGUAUACAAUACUAAAAGGGAGAAAAGUCAAAGAAGUAAACUUGAUCAAUUCGCUUCUUCUCGUCUUUGGGCUGGGUCAGGCCAGAGCACUUUGUCAACCUCACAAGCAAUAUUGUCCCUCCUGAGGCAACGGGGGACAGAAGCCUCUUGUGUGCCGUAUCCAGCCCUGACAUGAUUCCUCACCUAUAUCACCACAAGCUAAAUCCAUGGCUUGCAGAAGAUUUACUCUGGUGUAGGGUUGUCUAUUAUACACUUUUCAUCUCCAAGAGGAGAAAAACUCCUCAAUCGGAUUCAGGAAAGGCGAGUAUGGAGGAAGGUACAAGUUCAUAAACUUCCCAUUGAUGUUAAACCAUUCCCUUACCGGACCAGCUCGGUGGAAACUGACAUUGUCCCACACUAUCACAUAAAUGGGAAUGGGAUUCUCAUUAAGCUCUUGACCCUGAUGGUCUUGAACCUAAAGCUCAAAUAAAAUAUCUCUUAGAUUGGCAAGAAAUCUUAGAAGGUGCUGGGUGUUAUAUGGCCCGAGUGUAACAUGGUGAUGUAGAACACCAUGGUUGCUAAUAGCAGCACAGAUGGUGACAUUGCCACCUCGUUGACCAGGGACUUCAACAAUGGCUCGCUGUCAAAUAAUGUUUCCACCUCUCCAUCUCCUCUUUGUUAGAUUGAAGCCUGCUUCAUCGACAAAGAUGAAGUCAUGGGGUCUGUCCAAGGAUUCCAAGUCAAAUGUUGUCUGUGUAGAAAUACUAUAUACUGCAUUUAGAAUUUUGUGAGACAUACAGAGACAGUGUUAUACUGUAAAGUACAAUUAAGCCUACUGUAUGCACUUCUAAUUCACAUACAUUGUGUGUACUGGAGAGUAAUGUCAUUCACAUGUGUUAGUACUGUAGAAAAUCUGGAUAACAGUAAAUGUUUCUGAAUGUAUACUUACUUGCACAUACUGAGCUCGCAGUUCUUUCACCCUUGGUGAGUUGCGCUCAAAGGGUACUUUGUAUACUUGUUUCAUUCGCAUCCUGUUACGAUGGAGAACACGGUCAAUUGUGGAAAUGCUCACACUGUUGAUUCCCUGGAAGUGUGUGUUGUCUUGUAUCACUCGUUCCUGGAUUUCUCUGAGUUGUAUUACAUUAUCUUGAAGGACCAUGAGUGAAUAAAGCCGUCCUUCCACCUGGAUGUGGCAGCCUCGCAAUCCUACAAAAAGUAGAUGUGCAGUUACAACAAAUAUUCAUGCAGUACUAUACAUACAGUGAUGAACUUUACAAAAGUCUAUUGAAACAGUUGCAUAGAGUUAAGUACAGUAAAUUUGCAAUUAUAAAAAUAGAGUAGUAUACUGUACCUGUUCUCUUCUCUGAAUGUCCUUACUAUGGUGGACACAGAAAAUCAGCUCAAAUUGGGUUGCACUCUUAGUCCUGCUUCCCUCAUUGUCAGUCCAUGGACAAGAACAUGGUCUAUGACUGUUGCUCGAAUUUUAUCAGAUAUUUCCACUCUUUGUCUUCUUCUUCCUCCUCCUCUUCCUCUUUCUUGCCGCCCUCCUCCUCUUCCUCGCCCUCCUCUUCUGCCACUUCCUCCUCCUCUUCCUCUUUCUUGCCCUUCUCCUCCUUCUCGCCCUCCUCCUCUUCCUCUUUCUUGCCGCCCUCCUUCUCUUCCACCUCUUCUUCCUCUUCCUUAACCUCUUCCUCUUUUUUGUCGUCCUUCUCCUUCUCGUCCCCCACCUCGCAUACGCACUCGUCCUCUUACAUUGUCUCUUCUAUCCAUGCUCAGUCUUUCUCCUUUCUACCUUCAACAACCUGUUUGCUCUCUGAACUGGCUUAUAUUGGUUGUGUCACAUCAUUUGAAACAGGUGGCAUCAAUUUUCAGUGGUUGUGUUUAAUUGUUACGACCCCUUAGUCUAGGUUUCAGGGCCGCAACAAAGAAGAAAAUAAAAAAGAGAAAUCCUUCACAACAGGAUAGAGUGUGCGUGGUCUUUUAUUUUUUUACACACACACACACACACACAUACACAUACAGGAAGCUCUAGGCUUCAGGGUUGGGCCAAGGCCAAAACAAUAAACAAAACUUCCCCCUAUCUCCUCCCACAACCUAACUAACCUAUCAAAAGAAAACUUUAAACAAAACACAUUAGCUA
This is a non-coding RNA of Clarias gariepinus (North African catfish), 3308 nucleotides long. The record is from the annotation of a RefSeq genome assembly. Lineage: Eukaryota; Metazoa; Chordata; Actinopteri; Siluriformes; Clariidae.